UAGAAAUGACUGCUAAUACCGCAUAAGCGCACAGGACUGCAUGGUCCAGUGUGAAAAACUCCGGUGGUAUGAGAUGGACCCGCGUCUGAUUAGCUAGUUGGUGGGGUAACGGCCUACCAAGGCGACGAUCAGUAGCCGACCUGAGAGGGUGACCGGCCACAUUGGGACUGAGACACGGCCCAAACUCCUACGGGAGGCAGCAGUGGGGAAUAUUGCACAAUGGGGGAAACCCUGAUGCAGCGACGCCGCGUGAGUGAAGAAGUAUUUCGGUAUGUAAAGCUCUAUCAGCAGGGAAGAAAAUGACGGUACCUGACUAAGAAGCCCCGGCUAACUACGUGCCAGCAGCCGCGGUAAUACGUAGGGGGCAAGCGUUAUCCGGAUUUACUGGGUGUAAAGGGAGCGUAGACGGCGCGGCAAGUCUGAAGUGAAAGCCCGGGGCUUAACCCCGGGACUGCUUUGGAAACUGCCAUGCUGGAGUGCUGGAGAGGUAAGUGGAAUUCCUAGUGUAGCGGUGAAAUGCGUAGAUAUUAGGAGGAACACCAGUGGCGAAGGCGGCUUACUGGACAGUAACUGACGUUGAGGCUCGAAGGCGUGGGGAGCAAACAGGAUUAGAUACCCUGGUAGUCCACGCGGUAAACGAUGAAUACUAGGUGUCGGGGAGCAAAGCUUUUCGGUGCCGGCGCAAACGCAAUAAGU
This 696-nucleotide ribosomal RNA is filed under the name uncultured bacterium. Its description in RNAcentral is "bacterial SSU rRNA". It matches the Rfam family "Bacterial small subunit ribosomal RNA", at positions 151 to 865 of the family's 1533-position model. The record is from RNAcentral.